UAUCCCCCAAACCAAGGGGGGAUGAGAACCACCGACCGGGGUUCGACAACUGGCGCAGCCAGUUGGACAGACGACGAGCUUGCGAGGAGACUGCCCGAAGGGCGAGCGCAGCGAGUCAACCCCCCCCUCACCGCCA
This 136-nucleotide small RNA is filed under the name Salmonella enterica. RNAcentral's name for it is "RtT sRNA". It matches the Rfam family "RtT RNA". From Rfam's summary of the family: This family represents a bacterial cis-regulatory element known as RtT RNA. The exact function of RtT is unknown although it is thought that it may be involved in changing the cellular response in relation to amino acid starvation. The record is from RNAcentral. RNAcentral also lists the same sequence under 3 other names. Lineage: Bacteria; Pseudomonadati; Pseudomonadota; Gammaproteobacteria; Enterobacterales; Enterobacteriaceae.